This 515-nucleotide ribosomal RNA is filed under the name uncultured bacterium. Its description in RNAcentral is "partial 16S ribosomal RNA". It matches the Rfam family "Bacterial small subunit ribosomal RNA", at positions 28 to 523 of the family's 1533-position model. The record is from RNAcentral.
GAUGAACGCUGGCGGCGUGCCUAAUACAUGCAAGUCGAGCGAAUGGAUUGAGAGCUUGCUCUUAUGAAGUUAGCGGCGGACGGGUGAGUAACACGUGGGUAACCUGCCCAUAAGACUGGGAUAACUCCGGGAAACCGGGGCUAAUACCGGAUAACAUUUUGAACCGCAUGGUUCGAAAUUGAAAGGCGGCUUCGGUUGUCACUUAUGGAUGGACCCGCGUCGCAUUAGCUAGUUGGUGAGGUAACGGCUCACCAAGGCAACGAUGCGUAGCCGACCUGAGGGGGUGGUCGGCCACACUCGGACUGGGACACGGCCCAGACUCCUACGGGAGGCAGCAGUAGGGAAUCUUCCGCAAUGGACGAAAGUCUGACGGAGCAACGCCGCGUGAGUGAUGAAGGCUUUCGGGUCGUAAGACUCUGUUGUUAGGGAAGAACAAGUGCUAGUUGAAUAAGCUGGCACCUUGACGGUACCUAACCAGAAAGCCACGGCUAACUACGUGCCAGCAGCCGCCGUAA